RNAcentral lists this transfer RNA (75 nucleotides) under Rhizobium sp. MHM7A. RNAcentral describes it as "tRNA-Lys". It matches the Rfam family "tRNA". From Rfam's summary of the family: Transfer RNA (tRNA) molecules are approximately 80 nucleotides in length. Their secondary structure includes four short double-helical elements and three loops (D, anti-codon, and T loops). Further hydrogen bonds mediate the characteristic L-shaped molecular structure. tRNAs have two regions of fundamental functional importance: the anti-codon, which is responsible for specific mRNA codon recognition, and the 3' end, to which the tRNAs corresponding amino acid is attached (by aminoacyl-tRNA synthetases). tRNAs cope with the degeneracy of the genetic code in two manners: having more than one tRNA (with a specific anti-codon) for a particular amino acid; and 'wobble' base-pairing, i.e. permitting non-standard base-pairing at the 3rd anti-codon position. The record is from RNAcentral. Lineage: Bacteria; Pseudomonadati; Pseudomonadota; Alphaproteobacteria; Hyphomicrobiales; Rhizobiaceae.
GGGGGUGUAGCUCAGAGGAAGAGCGUCCGCCUUUUAAGCGGAGGGUCGAGAUGUCGCAAUUCUCCGCCCCUACCA